GACGAACGCUGGCGGCGUGCUUAACACAUGCAAGUCGAACGCUGAAGCUCAGCUUGCUGGGUGGAUGAGUGGCGAACGGGUGAGUAACACGUGAGUAACCUGCCCUCUUCUUUGGGAUAACGCCCGGAAACGGGUGCUAAUACUGGAUAUUCACUGAUUCUCGCAUGGGGGUUGGUGGAAAGGUUUUUUCUGGUGGGGGAUGGGCUCGCGGCCUAUCAACUUGUUGGUGGGGUGAUGGCCUACCAAGGCUUUGACGGGUAGCCGGCCUGAGAGGGUGACCGGUCACAUUGGGACUGAGAUACGGCCCAGACUCCUACGGGAGGCAGCAGUGGGGAAUAUUGCACAAUGGGCGAAAGCCUGAUGCAGCGACGCCGCGUGAGGGAUGGAGGCCUUCGGGUUGUAAACCUCUUUCGCUCAUGGUCAAGCCGCAGCUUUGGGUUGUGGUGAGGGUAGUGGGUAAAGAAGCGCCGGCUAACUACGUG
RNAcentral lists this ribosomal RNA (482 nucleotides) under uncultured bacterium. RNAcentral's name for it is "partial 16S ribosomal RNA". It matches the Rfam family "Bacterial small subunit ribosomal RNA", at positions 28 to 507 of the family's 1533-position model. The record is from RNAcentral.